GGGGGGAUAGUUUAGUGGUAGAACAUGGGACUCCAGAUCCCAAGGCCCGGGUUCAAAUCCCGGUCCCCCCA
RNAcentral lists this transfer RNA (71 nucleotides) under Nautiliaceae bacterium. RNAcentral describes it as "tRNA-Trp". It matches the Rfam family "tRNA". From Rfam's summary of the family: Transfer RNA (tRNA) molecules are approximately 80 nucleotides in length. Their secondary structure includes four short double-helical elements and three loops (D, anti-codon, and T loops). Lineage: Bacteria; Pseudomonadati; Campylobacterota; Epsilonproteobacteria; Nautiliales; Nautiliaceae. The record is from RNAcentral.